UACGUAGGGUGCGAGCGUUGUCCGGAAUUAUUGGGCGUAAAGAGCUUGUAGGCGGUUUGUCGCGUCUGCUGUGAAAUCUCAAGGCUCAACGUUGAGCUUGCAGUGGGUACGGGCAGACUAGAGUGUGGUAGGGGAGACUGGAAUUCCUGGUGUAGCGGUGAAAUGCGCAGAUAUCAGGAGGAACACCGAUGGCGAAGGCAGGUCUCUGGGCCACUACUGACGCUGAGAAGCGAAAGCAUGGGGAGCGAACAGG
Molecule: ribosomal RNA, 253 nt
Filed under: uncultured bacterium
Lineage: Bacteria
Description: partial 16S ribosomal RNA
Rfam family: Bacterial small subunit ribosomal RNA
Source: RNAcentral